GGAGCUCACAUGGCUUCAGGUUUCAAAAGGGUCGCUGGAAUUCAACUCUCGAUCAACCACUUGAAGAGUGCUGAUCUCGGAGACCUUGUAUUCGCCGAAGCAUCUCCUGUAAGCACAGGCAAAACCAUUCAGGUUUGGGAAGUCAAGCUUUGGAAAACAACAAAAGGAUCAGAGAAAGCUAACAAAAGCUUAAUAUCUUCCUCUAGAGUCACACUUCUUUGCAAUCUUCCUAUCCCUGAACACGCCAAAGAUGCAUCAGACCCGCUCAAACUGAUCUCCAAGUUGUAGAUUUCAAUGCUUUGUUCUCUCUCUCUCUCUAUCUAUGAUUGAGUUUACUUGUAUGUAACUAUGUAUCAUCUUCUAAAAAAAUUAACCUUUUGGGUGAUAAUAAGCUAAAAGUGGCAAAAGACAAGUCAACCGUCGUUGUCCUUGAUGUGCAGAAUCUACCGGAAUAUCAAGCGUGGAGCAUCUUUCCUUAUAUUUAAAAAAAACCCCAAAUUUUUGCGAAUAUAGUUCACAAGUAGCAAUAGCAAUCUAGUCUGUGAUUUGUUAGGCCUGGAAAAAGGAUGAAACUUUAACCUCAUGUGCUUACCUCAGAUUUGUGAGGACAGCUUGUGUCUGUAGACAAACAAUGUUGUCAGAUCUCAAUCAAGUUCUAGGAGUUUGAAUGCUUGUCGGGUGCAUCAUUUGCAGGGUGACCACCAAAAAUCCUGCACCUUUUGUAACAAAUAAGAAACAUCAGGCAUAAACACAAUGAAGAGAGCAUAACAAUGUGGCAAGCAAUUGAACACAAGAUAGAGAUGCUAUAAUAGGAUCUAAUUACAACAAACUUGAGUUUUGGUGAUUUUCAUGUCUAAGCGACAUCAAAGUCUAUUCAAGCAACAAAUAUCAAAUAAUGAUCUCUUAUCAUAUUCCAAUACAUGGCAGGAAACUACCCGAAAGAUGCAGCUUUGAUCGGUGCUUAGGGCUACAAUAGCUCAGCGAGAGAAUAAAUUAGGAACCAAUAAUAAUCUGGGAUUUAUCAAAUUGUGGGCUCACGAGAGAAGAAGAACCAGUUUUUUUUCAGAUUGGAUUAAAUUAGGAGUUUUUACCAUUGAAGGAUGACGAAGAAGAAAGACAGAUAAUGCCCAAUAAGACAAAAUUGAAGAAUGCAGAGAGAUCAUGCUCAACAUUCAACAUCACCUUCGAGUUCUUCUCUCAAUCUUCUCUACGCAGUUCCAGCGACUAUUGUAAAAUUAUAAGGGUGCUCAAUCCGGUUUAACCCAUCCCAGAAUUGAGCCGAAAUCGUACAAGAACACCGCAAUUCUUGAAAUUGAUUUCUCAAGAACCGAAUUCAACCGAAACUAAAAGGUAUUCCCUUUACGUAAACCGAACAAUUCGAAUCAAACCGAUACGAAAACCGGAUUUGGUGUGGUGGUUCUUGGUAUAGAAAGGAGUGGAUCGUAUUACACAUUGUCUCUCUCUGUGAAACACAGCACACAAAUGGAUUCUGCUUCUCCAUCGUCCAAGACCAAAGCUUUAGCCCCUCCGCUUCAUAUCUUAGGUUUCGAGAUCGAUGAGUUAUCUCCAACUCGUGUCACAGGUCGUUUUCCCGUUUCUCUAAUCUGCUGCCAGGUUUUCAUCUUCUUAUUGUUCGUCUUCAAUUUGAUCAUUAACCCAUUUUCCCACCAAAUUCUGAGAAAAUUUUCAAUUUUUUCCCUCUCAAAGCCUUUCAAGGUCUUACACGGUGGUGUAUCUGCUUUGAUCGCUGAGUCUUUAGCAAGUAUAGGAGCUUACGUGGCUUGUGGUUUCCAAAGGAUCGCUGGAGUUCAACUCUCCAUCAACCACUUGAAAAGUGCUGAUCUUGGAGACCUUGUCUUCGCCGAAGCAUCUCCUGUAAGCACAGGCAAAACCAUUCAGGUUUGGGAAGUCAAGCUUUGGAAAACAACAAAAGGGUCAGAGAACGCUAACAAAAGCUUAAUAUCUUCCUCUAGAGUCACAGUUCUCUGCAAUCUUCCUAUCCCUGAUCACGCCAAAGAUGCAUCAGACCCGCUUAGACUGAUCUUCUCGAAGCUGUAGAUUUCAAAGCUUUGUUCUCUCUCUAUGAUUGAGUUUAGUUGU
RNAcentral lists this long non-coding RNA (2100 nucleotides) under Eutrema salsugineum. RNAcentral describes it as "long non-coding RNA (ESAL_LNC000330)". The record is from RNAcentral. Lineage: Eukaryota; Viridiplantae; Streptophyta; Magnoliopsida; Brassicales; Brassicaceae.